Molecule: ribosomal RNA, 253 nt
Filed under: uncultured microorganism
Description: partial 16S ribosomal RNA
Rfam family: Bacterial small subunit ribosomal RNA
Source: RNAcentral
UACGUAGGGUGCGAGCGUUAAUCGGAUUUACAGGGCGUAAAGCGUGCGCAGGCGGCCCGUUAAGACAGGUGUGAAAUCCCUGGGCUCAACCUAGGAAUUGCGCUUGUGACUGGCGGGCUCGAGUACGGUAGAGGGGGGUGGAAUUCCUGGUGUAGCAGUGAAAUGCGUAGAGAUCAGGAGGAACACCGAUGGCGAAGGCAGCCCCCUGGGCCUGUACUGACGCUCAUGCACGAAAGCGUGGGGAGCAAACAGG